RNAcentral lists this ribosomal RNA (1627 nucleotides) under Goniodiscaster scaber. RNAcentral describes it as "16S ribosomal RNA". It matches the Rfam family "Bacterial large subunit ribosomal RNA", at positions 400 to 2925 of the family's 2925-position model. Lineage: Eukaryota; Metazoa; Echinodermata; Asteroidea; Valvatida; Goniasteridae. The record is from RNAcentral.
UGUUUUAUUAGGUUAAAUCGAAAUAUUGAGAUUUAGUUUUAUUAGGGGAGUAUUGGUAAGAGAAACUUAAUUGAAGAGCUAUAGGGAAAGUACUGAGAAGGAAUGUUGAAAUAUAGGUGAAAUAGUUAAGAUUUGGAAAAGAAAGUGUAAAUUGCUGUACCUUUUGUAUAAUGGUUUAGUUAGUAUUAGAAUUGAGAGUAUUUUUUAGCCCGAAGUUAAAUGAGCUAAUGUGGUCUUCCUGUAGGGGAAAAGGCUUUUACUGUUGCAGUAGUAAGGUUAGAGGUUACAUUAGGUGUGAAAUGCUUAUCGCAUUUAACGAUAGCUGGUUCUCUUGGAAAUUGGUGGAAGCUGGGUUCUUGUGUUUAUUGGGAAAUGUUAAUUUGGAAAGAAUAAUUUAGGGGUUUUCUGGUAACAGCAGGGGAUGUAGACAAAUAAGGAUAAGCUUAUUUGUCGAGAAGGAAAAAGCUUUAUUUGUAGACUAAGAGUUUGGUUUAACACUUUGUCUUUGUUAGUAGAAUAGGAUUAGUAUCAUCUAUUUAUGGGGAUGGCGUUAAAGCUUGUUUUGUUAUAGGCAAGGUGGAAGUAAUAAUUAAUGUUUAAAUUAAGUUUGAGGUUGCAGGGAUGUUUAUAAGGGAUUCUCGUGUUUGUAUUUGGGAGUUAUUCUGCUAAUAUGAGUAAGGAUGGAGACUUUUUGUGGGUUAAGCAGUCCUAACUUUGGAUGGAGAAGCUGUGAUGGACGAGAAGUUAAGCUUGAUUUGAGGUUAAGGUAUAAGGUUGUUUACUAACACAAGUGGUCUUUGGUUAUGAAGGUAGGAAGAAGGAAUUCGGCAAGAUUUGGUUUCGCCUGUUUAUCAAAAACAUCGCUCCCUGGUAAGAAGAUUUUUGGGAUAGGGAGUCCUGCCUGCCCGGUGACUUGGUUAAACGGCCGCGGUAUUUUGACCGUGCGAAGGUAGCGUAAUCAUUUGCCUUUUAAAUGGGGGCUGGUAUGAAUGGCAAGACGGGGGUCAGACUGUCUCUUUCCUAUUUUCUUGAAUUUAAUUUUUCUGUGAAGAAGCGGGAAUGGAGUCGUGGGACGAGAAGACCCUAUCGAGCUUUAGUGGGUUUUGUUUAAACGAGUAUAUUGUAGUAAUUGCUUUGUGGCUAAUUAUUUAGUGUUUUAUUGGUAAGUAGUUUUACUGUAAAAGUGAUUUCGUUGUAUGUAGACUACUUUGGUUGGGGCAACCGCGGAGAAAAGGUAUCCUCCGUUAAGGGGACUUAUAAAAUAUAUAUUUUUAUGGUGUAGGUUCUAUUUGUUGAGUGGUCCGCCUGUAGGGGCGAUCAUAGGAAUAAGUUACCGUAGGGAUAACAGCGUAAUUCUUUUAGAGAGUUCAUAUUGAGAAGAGAGUUUGCGACCUCGAUGUUGGAUCGAGAUUUCCAGGAGGUGCAGCAGCUUCCAAAGGUUGGUCUGUUCGACCAUUAAAAUCUUACGUGAUCUGAGUUCAGACCGGCGGGAGCCAGGUCAGUUUCUAUCUGCGAUUUGAUGUAAGGACCUUCUUUAGUACGAAAGGAUUGGGAAGGGUGUGCUUAGGCUUUUUGGUAAGCACUGUAGUAAAGUUCUGCUUGAAAAUGAAGGGAGUAGGAAAUUUUU